CUUCUCUUCUCAACAACGGAUCUGUGGCCCAGCUCGACCCGGUGUCUUUCAGGCACUCGGGCUCAGUUGCGGUCAGCACGACAAAAUCAUCCUUAUGGAGCCGCUUCUUCACUUCCGUAGCGUCAAUUUCCAGUCGGCAGAUCCGUGAGCAAUGCCCUGCGCGUCGUCUUGCCUGAGUCUUUCCUCUCUUUCCGUUCCUACCGCCGGCGAGACUUCUCUAAAAAGUAGCCUUGAUGCCUCUUCGUGAGGCAUCGGUGAGCUCGUCGGCGAAGGACGGGGAGAACAUGGGGGAAGAUGAGAGGCGAUGCUAGGGGUGGGCGUCAUAUUCCUGAGCCUUUUCGUCGAUCGUCGAUCACUGACGUCUGGGACAAACCAUGAUGCAUACAAAU
Molecule: small RNA, 389 nt
Filed under: Dothideomycetidae sp. 11243
Lineage: Eukaryota; Fungi; Ascomycota; Dothideomycetes
Description: fungal sp. No.11243 A. fumigatus sRNA Afu_309
Rfam family: A. fumigatus sRNA Afu_309
Source: Rfam by way of RNAcentral